Molecule: long non-coding RNA, 258 nt
Filed under: Carica papaya (papaya)
Lineage: Eukaryota; Viridiplantae; Streptophyta; Magnoliopsida; Brassicales; Caricaceae
Description: long non-coding RNA (CPAP_LNC005591)
Source: RNAcentral
AGCAACAGGGACCCAAAUUUGGUUCGAAAAUCUAAAUAGCUCAUCAUCUAAAAUCCUGAAAUCAGGAGAUUCGUCAGAAGAGAACUUAAAUUCUUGGUGAGUUCUGGGUUCGUAGAUUGAGCCUCCCAAAUUUUCAUGAAGCGAUCCAGCAGGGAUCAGAUCUGAGCAAGAUAGGUGCCUUUGUCGUAGUAGCGAAGAUGGAGGGACUGCAUAGUAUCCAUGAAUUUCCAACUGGAGACCAUGGUUUGGGCCAACAGU